This 441-nucleotide long non-coding RNA is filed under the name Anser cygnoides (Swan goose). Its description in RNAcentral is "lncRNA (ENSACDG00005012936.1)". The record is from RNAcentral. Lineage: Eukaryota; Metazoa; Chordata; Aves; Anseriformes; Anatidae.
GGGACCCCCGUAAGUGUCCCUCUGUGCUCCCCGCUCUGUGGGCCGCAGCAGCCCCCAGCCCCCCGAUUCCUGCCUCUCCCCCUUGCGACCCCCCCGGGCAGACGGUGACAGCGUGGUCCUGGCCACGCCACGGCUGCAGAGUGGCCCUGGGGACAGGGCUGUCACCGCUGCUCGCUGGGCGGACUGGCCGGGGAGACUUAAUGCCACCUCCCGCCCCCAGGGACCCCCCGGAGCCCAGGGCCCCCCAGGAAUGGCAGCAGAGAAAGGAGCCAAGGGAUCUCCGGGUCCUAAAGGUGCCGUGGGCCCCCCCGGGCCACCAGGACCCAGCGUCACCGGGCCACCGGGCCCCGAGGGGCAGCGGGGGCUCCCCGGGGUGCCCGGCUCCAGCGGGCUGCCGGUAGGUACGGGACUGGGGGGGGGACGGGGGCACGGAGGGGGCUG